GUAGGGAAUAUUGGGCAAUGGGUGCAAGUCUGACCCAGCCAUCCCGCGUGCCGGAAGAAGGCCCUCAGGGUUGUAAACGGCUUUUGACGGUGAAGAAUCGACAGGAUGCGUCCUGUUUUGACGGUAGCCGUUGAAUAAGCACCGGCUAACUCCGUGCCAGCAGCCGCGGUAAUACGGAGGGUGCGAGCGUUGUCCGGAUUUAUUGGGUUUAAAGGGUGCGUAGGCUGGAAGGUCAGUCAGCGGUGAAAAGCUGUCGCUUAACGAUAGUCUUGCCGCAGAUACUUCCUUUCUUGGAUGAGGAGGAGGCCACUGGAACGGAUGGUGUAGCGGUGAAAUGCAUAGAUAUCAUCCAGAACACCGAUUGCGAAGGCAGGUGGCUGUACCUUAAUCGACGCUGAUGCACGAAAGCAUGGGGAGCAAACAGGAUUAGAAACCCUUGUAGUCC
RNAcentral lists this ribosomal RNA (445 nucleotides) under uncultured bacterium. RNAcentral describes it as "partial 16S ribosomal RNA". It matches the Rfam family "Bacterial small subunit ribosomal RNA", at positions 354 to 796 of the family's 1533-position model. The record is from RNAcentral.